Molecule: ribosomal RNA, 250 nt
Filed under: uncultured bacterium
Lineage: Bacteria
Description: partial 16S ribosomal RNA
Rfam family: Bacterial small subunit ribosomal RNA
Source: RNAcentral
GACGGAGGGUGCGAGCGUUAUUCGGAUUUAUUGGGCGUAAAGGGUGUGUAGGCGGUCAGCCAAGUCUGAUGUGAAAGCCCGGGGCUUAACCUCGGAAGGGCGUUGGAAACUGGUUGACUUGAGUUCGGGAGAGGGAAGCGGAAUUCCGGGUGUAGAGGUGAAAUUCGUAGAUAUCCGGAGGAACACCGGUGGCGAAGGCGGCUUCCUGGACCGAAACUGACGCUGAGACACGAAAGCGUGGGGAGCAAAC